Molecule: ribosomal RNA, 251 nt
Filed under: Oidiodendron maius
Lineage: Eukaryota; Fungi; Ascomycota; Leotiomycetes; Myxotrichaceae
Description: partial large subunit ribosomal RNA
Rfam family: Eukaryotic large subunit ribosomal RNA
Source: RNAcentral
ACACCAAGCCCAGGGGGCCUGAGGGGUGAUAAUGACGCUCGAACAGGCAUGAGUAACGGCGAGUGAAGCGGCAACAGCUCAAAUUUGAAAUCUGGCCCUCUCAGGGUCCGAGUUGUAAUUUGGAGAGGAUGCUUCGGGUGUGGCCCCGGUCUAAGUUCCUUGGAACAGGACGUCACAGAGGGUGAGAAUCCCGUACGUGCCCGGUGGCCGCCCCCGUGUGAAGCUCCUUCGACGAGUCGAGUUGUUUGGGA